GUGGGGAAUAUUGGACAAUGGGCGAAAGCCUGAUCCAGCCAUGCCGCGUGUGUGAAGAAGGUCUUCGGAUUGUAAAGCACUUUAAGUUGGGAGGAAGGGCAGUAAGUUAAUACCUUGCUGUUUUGACGUUACCGACAGAAUAAGCACCGGCUAACUUCGUGCCAGCCGCCGCGGUAAUACGAAGGGGGCGAGCGUUAUUCGGAAUCACUGGGCGUAAAGCGUGCGUAGGCGGUUUUGUAAGUUAGGAGUGAAAGCCCAGGGCUCAACCUUGGAAUUGCGCUUGAAACUGCAAGGCUCGAAUGUCGGAGAGGAUAGCGGAAUUUCCAGUGUAGCAGUGAAAUGCGUAGAUAUUGGAAGGAACACCAGUGGCGUAAGCGGCUAUCUGGACGAGUAUUGACGCUGAGGCACGAAAGCGUGGGGAUCAAACAGGAUUAGAUACCCCAGUAGUCC
RNAcentral lists this ribosomal RNA (450 nucleotides) under uncultured bacterium. Its description in RNAcentral is "partial 16S ribosomal RNA". It matches the Rfam family "Bacterial small subunit ribosomal RNA", at positions 354 to 796 of the family's 1533-position model. The record is from RNAcentral.